GAUGAACGCUAGCGAUAGGCUUAACACAUGCAAGUCGAGGGGCAGCAUUAUUUUAGCUUGCUAAGAUAGAUGGCGACCGGCGCACGGGUGCGUAACGCGUAUGCAACCUGCCUGUAAUUAGGGAAUAACCCGGUGAAAGUCGGACUAAUACCCUAUAUUCUUCUUUCUCCGCAUGGGGGAGGACGGAAAGAUUUAUUGAUUACAGAUGGGCAUGCGUCCCAUUAGCUAGUUGGUAAGGUAACGGCUUACCAAGGCAACGAUGGGUAGGGGGACUGAGAGGUUGACCCCCCACACUGGUACUGAGACACGGACCAGACUCCUACGGGAGGCAGCAGUGAGGAAUAUUGGUCAAUGGGCGAGAGCCUGAACCAGCCAAGUCGCGUGAAGGACGACGGUUCUAUGGAUUGUAAACUUCUUUUGUAGAGGAAUAAUGGCAGCUACGUGUAGCUGAGAUGCAUGUACUCUACGAAUAAGUAUC
RNAcentral lists this ribosomal RNA (478 nucleotides) under Porphyromonas endodontalis. RNAcentral's name for it is "bacterial SSU rRNA". It matches the Rfam family "Bacterial small subunit ribosomal RNA", at positions 28 to 494 of the family's 1533-position model. Lineage: Bacteria; Pseudomonadati; Bacteroidota; Bacteroidia; Bacteroidales; Porphyromonadaceae. The record is from RNAcentral.